CUAUGCCCCUAGCUGUGCCWUGYYKSYAYGACRUAACAUGUAAGCUAAUGUGAGAACCAUAGCCGCCGGAAGCCUAAAGUUUUUUCGUAAUGGAUUAUCCAACGAAAAUUAGUCAUUGCCUAAGAUGAGGACGCAAGUCGUAGUCGAUGGAAAGUAGUUUAAUAUUACUACACUUAAUAUAAUAACGCAUGACAAGUAAUGUAUAAAUUAAGAGUUAUUUUAUGCUAUAUGAGUUGUGACUAGAAAAAAUUAUAUAAUAAAAAAGAUGUACUUAAUCCGACACAGGUGGGCUGGUAUAAUUUACCAAGGCGUUAGAAUAAUGAUAUUAAAGGAACUCGGCAAAUUUCUUCCGUAACUUUUGGAAAAGGAAGACUUCUAUGUGGGCAACCAUGUAGGAGUUUUAAAAAUAGGGAGUGGCGACUGUUUAUCAAAAACAUAGGACUCUGCAAAAUAGAAUUAUGAAGUAUAGGGUCUGAGACCUGCCCAGUGUUCUGUAGUUAAAUGUUGGUGUUUACGCAUUGAUUAUAAGCUAGAAUAAACGGCGGCAGUAAAUAUAACUGUCCAAAGGUAGCAAAGUUCCUUGUCACGUAAGUUGUGACCCGCAUGAAAGGUUUAACGAUCUCUCCGCUGUCUCUAAUAUCAUUCUAGUGAAAUUUAAUUCUCCGUGCAAAUGCGGAGUACUUGUAGCUAGACGGAAAGUCCCUUUGCACCUUUACUAUAACUUUGUAUUAAUUUGUUGUUUGUAUUACGUAGCAUAUAGAGGAGACUAUGAAGCAAUGAUUUAGGUUGUUGUGGAGUCAUCAAUGAAAUACUCUAUAGUACAAAUUACAAGUUUAACUUAAUACCGUGAUCCGGUAUAAGGACAUUACAUGGUGGGUAGUUUCGCUGGGGCGGCGGCCUCCUAAAAAGUAACGGAGGCGCACUUAAGGCAAACUCAACCUGUAUAGAAAGCAGGUUUAGAGCGCAAUAGCAUAUGUUUGCUUAACUGCAAGGAUUACAAUCCGAGCAGCAAUGAAAGUUGGUUAUAGUGAUCCUAUGGUCCCUUUAUGGUAAGGCCAUAGCUCAACGGAUAAAAGGUACGCUAGGGAUAACAGGCUAAUCCCCUCUGAGAGAUCUUAUCGACGAGGGGGUUUGGCACCUCGAUGUCGACUCAUCACAUCCUGGAGGUGAAGUAGCUUCCAAGGGUUUGUCUGUUCGCCAAUUAAAGUGGUACGUGAGUUGGGUUCAGAACGUCGUGAGACAGUUCGGUUCCUAUCUACUACGAGCGUUUAAAUAUUGAUGGAGUCUACACUCAGUACGAGAGGACCAGUGUGGGCAUGCAUAUGGUGUAUCCAUUGUAUUACUCAAUGCAUAGUGGAGUAGCUAAGCAUGCUUGAAAUAAUUACUGAAAGCAUCUAAGUAAGAAGUUCAACCMMMGAUMRAUMKYASUMAUAUAUCCUAUAUAUUCAGAUAUAUUUACUAUAUUAUUAAUAGUGGUGNUAUAUCAUCGUAGUCGUAUGACAGGCGUUAGUCAAGGUCUG
This 1520-nucleotide ribosomal RNA is filed under the name Ophryotrocha diadema. RNAcentral describes it as "bacterial LSU rRNA". Lineage: Eukaryota; Metazoa; Annelida; Polychaeta; Eunicida; Dorvilleidae. The record is from RNAcentral.